GCUCUUGUAGCUCAGUGGUAGAGCGCUUGCCUAGUAAGCAAGAGGCCCAGUGUUCGAGUCACUGCUGGAGCA
This is a non-coding RNA of Schizosaccharomyces pombe (fission yeast), 72 nucleotides long. The record is from Rfam. NCBI's taxonomy places the organism in Eukaryota, Fungi, Ascomycota, Schizosaccharomycetes, Schizosaccharomycetales, Schizosaccharomycetaceae.